This 1963-nucleotide long non-coding RNA is filed under the name Sus scrofa (pig). Its description in RNAcentral is "lncRNA (ENSSSCG00015026267.1)". Lineage: Eukaryota; Metazoa; Chordata; Mammalia; Artiodactyla; Suidae. The record is from RNAcentral.
AGAGAGCUGGGAGCCUGUGCUCUAGGGUAUUUCAACUGGGCCUGCACCUCUUCCUUCUUCAAUACCAGAAUAAAUCCCUUGGCUUCUGAACCCUUCUCCUUCCAUUAGCUUGAAGGACACAGAGCAGGAAGAUCCUUGCAGGGCCGAACUCCAAAUGGCAUGUGAAUUCUUCACAACACCCUCAGUCUAAACCCAUCCAUGACCACAAAAUCCACUCAAGUCAGUUGUUCAAGGCUGCAGUCAUAAAUGCUGGCUUAACAGGUAAAAUUUAGUCUUGAUCUGCUAUUUCUUUUUAAAGUCCAGUUGAUGUUGUUAAAAGUCAAAUGUUGAUUAUACUUAUUUCAGUUCUCAACACACUAGGGAAUUUAAAUUGGAAACUGGGAAAUAGGGAAAUUAAUGUUUGACACCAGAAGAUGGACACCUCAUCAAAUUAGACCCCAAAUUUCAUAAACAUUACUUUGCAAAGAAAACCUUAGACUUGACAAUACUAUAAAUUAUAUAAUUCAUGGUCAUUAGCAUGAUCCUAGUACUUAAAGUGAAACUUAAUAUGGAAUCAUAUCCAGUCGGUUACCUAUUUUAUAUGAGGCACUUCACUGUAAUGGGUUUAUCACCAAACCAUAUGUGUGAGUGUGUGUAUACAUUCUAAUAUGAAUAUUAUUAUAUACGAAUGGUCUCAUAUGUCUGAAUAUUCAUAUAUAUACGAAUAGAAUUUUCUUCCCAGCCCUAACUGCUUUCUGGAGUAGGGCAUUUUCCUACCACUUUCUGGACACUUGGAGCCCAAAAUUAGCCAAGAUAAUGUUGCCAAAUUAUCGGUCGCCUCUGUAUACCCAUGCCAAAUAGAAACGGAAACAGAGUUGGAGGAAACAGAAAAAGUAGCUUUAAUUGCCAGGCAAAGAGGGGAACGCGGCAGGCUAGUGCCUCAAGGACUGUGCCCCCUGGAGGGGAUCAUGAAGAGUCAUGUGUGAGAAGCAGGGCAUGGUCAGCUUGUGGACACUUUCCUGAUUGGUGGGUAGUGAGGUAACUGGGAGUCAGCAUCAUCAGUCUUCUGGUUCCAGCCAUUCUGGGGUCUAUGUGCUUGUGGGCAGCAUCUAGUUGACUUCUACCUGGUGGGGGCUUCAGCACUUGCAAAACAGCUCCAAGGACAUGGCUCAGAAUAUUAUCUGUGGUCUUUGAAGAACUGAAGGUCCUUGACUUUGUUGAAUGACUGAAUUAUCAUUACUGUUUUCUCUCCCUAUAUAUAUAGAAAGAGUAUGUACAUUUAUAUAUAUACAGGUAUAAAUUUAUAAAUUUAUAAAUAAAUAUUAAUGUAUAAAGAUGCACAUAAACAUAAAUUUAUCAAUAAAUAUUAAAUAUAUAAAAACACAUAUAGAUAUGUAUUCAUUAAUUUCCUUAAACUCUCCUUUAUAAAACACAGAAAAGAGUCAGUCAGGGUGGUUAUCUCCCUUCAGUAAUCAAAUCUUCUAAACUUUGCUAGAUAAACAGGUUUUUAUGAUGGUCUUUUAGGAUGUAUAUGCGUAAUAAUAUUAUUGACAGUACUUUAAAUGUUAUUUAUGCAACCAUAUCAUGAUGUCUUAAUAUAAUGUAUAAAAUUUAUGCUUUAUUUCCAUGAAUUUAGAAAUACUUUAGGAAUUUUGUAGAAAAUUCCAAUUGUUAUUGCUUCAUAGAAGAAAACUUUUACAAAUUGAAAUUUAAAAAGCAAUUGGGAGUUCCUGUUGUGGCUCAGUGGUAAUGAUCCCAACGAGUAUCCAUGAGAAUGUGGGUUUGAGCCCUGGCCCCAACUAAGUGGGUUAAGAAUCCGGAGUUGCCACAAGCUUUGGUAUAGGUUGCAGACAUGGCUAGGAUCCCACGGUCCUGGGGCUGUGGUGUAGCUAACAGUCCCAGCUCCCAGUUACAGUUCGACCCCUAGCCUAGGAAUUUCCAUAUGCUGUGGUGCAGAAAUAAAAACACAAAAAAGAAAAAAAAA